GCACUGUUGAGGAGUCCCACAAUAGGAUGAAACGGCCGUGCAGUGC
Molecule: non-coding RNA, 46 nt
Organism: Schistosoma rodhaini
Lineage: Eukaryota; Metazoa; Platyhelminthes; Trematoda; Strigeidida; Schistosomatidae
Source: Rfam